This 118-nucleotide ribosomal RNA is filed under the name Rhodococcus xishaensis. RNAcentral's name for it is "Rhodococcus sp. LHW51113 partial 16S ribosomal RNA". It matches the Rfam family "Bacterial small subunit ribosomal RNA", at positions 1426 to 1533 of the family's 1533-position model. Lineage: Bacteria; Bacillati; Actinomycetota; Actinomycetes; Mycobacteriales; Nocardiaceae. The record is from RNAcentral.
GCCGGUGGCCCAACCCCUCGGGGAGGGAGCCGUCGAAGGUGGGAUCGGCGAUUGGGACGAAGUCGUAACAAGGUAGCCGUACCGGAAGGUGCGGCUGGAUCACCUCCUUUCUAAGGAG